This 347-nucleotide ribosomal RNA is filed under the name uncultured Actinomycetes bacterium. RNAcentral's name for it is "bacterial SSU rRNA". It matches the Rfam family "Bacterial small subunit ribosomal RNA", at positions 1038 to 1382 of the family's 1533-position model. Lineage: Bacteria; Bacillati; Actinomycetota; Actinomycetes. The record is from RNAcentral.
GUGGUGCAUGGCUGUCGUCAGCUCGUGUCGUGAGAUGUUGGGUUAAGUCCCGCAACGAGCGCAACCCUUGUCUCAUGUUGCCAGCGGGUAAUGGCGGGGACUCGUGAGAGACUGCCGGGGUCAACUCGGAGGAAGGUGGGGAUGACGUCAAGUCAUCAUGCCCCUUAUGUCCAGGGCUUCACACAUGCUACAAUGGCCGGUACAAAGGGCUGCGAAUCCGUGAGGGGGAGCGAAUCCCUGCAAAGCCGGUCUCAGUUCGGAUCGGGGUCUGCAACUCGACCCCGUGAAGUCGGAGUCGCUAGUAAUCGCAAAUCACCAACGCUGCGGUGAAUACGUUCCCGGGCCUU